AGGCACAGUAGUGGUUGUCUUUCAGGAGGAGAAGGUUGUAUCUGCUGACCAAAAUUAUCCCCAAUCUGGUCUUCUACUUUUUGAGUAUUUGCUUCAGGACAUCACCUUCGUGGUCCACAGGAUAAAAGUUAUUAUCAGCAAUAAGUUGGACCUUAACCAUGCAUUCUUGCUCGCAAAAGACAUGAAGAUGCAAUCAACUUACCAAGAGAUGCAGGAAGAAUUGCACAAAAGCAUGUGCGUAUUCAGGGACAUAUUUCUUGCACUAAAGAAAUUGACACCAAAACAACAACAACAACGUGAAUAAUCCUCAAAGAUGAAAACCCAUGCCAUAAUAAUCAAUAAAUUAUGUGUGAGCAGCUCA
Non-coding RNA from Pantherophis guttatus, 361 nucleotides. NCBI's taxonomy places the organism in Eukaryota, Metazoa, Chordata, Lepidosauria, Squamata, Colubridae. The record is from RefSeq and is a predicted model, not a curated record.